Molecule: non-coding RNA, 109 nt
Organism: Acanthosepion pharaonis
Lineage: Eukaryota; Metazoa; Mollusca; Cephalopoda; Sepiida; Sepiidae
Source: the annotation of a GenBank genome assembly
UUACGGCCACAUCACGUUGAAAUAUUGGUUCCCAUACAAUCACCGAAGUUAAACAACGUCGACCCUGGUCAGUACCUAGAUGGGUGACUGUUUGGGAAUACCAGGUACU